Molecule: small RNA, 745 nt
Filed under: Pan troglodytes (chimpanzee)
Lineage: Eukaryota; Metazoa; Chordata; Mammalia; Primates; Hominidae
Description: processed transcript
Source: RNAcentral
AGCCUGGACCUGGUCCUGAGAGAAGGUUGCUACCCACGUGUUGAGAGAAUGUGCGUGCGCCACCUCAGCUGCGCCCCGUGGACAUUAGCGAAUGUUUGAGGAGUGAGUUAUUCAGUAGAUGGAGAGAGGCCCUCAAAGUUGGCUAGAAGAUAAAUGACUAAAAGGAAAGCCUGUUUUUCUCAUUCUUAGGUGGUGAAGAAGGUGAAGUCCAUGCAGAUGUUCCACAUGCCCAUCACUUCAGCCAUGCAAGGAGACCGGCUGGGCAUCUGCGUCACCCAGUUUGACCCUAAGCUGCUGGAGCGCGGGUUGGUGUGUGCCCCCGAGUCCCUGCACACUGUCCAUGCGGCCCUCAUCUCUGUGGAAAAGAUACCGUAUUUCCGGGGGCCCCUGCAAACCAAGGCCAAGUUCCACAUUACAGUGGGCCAUGAAACAGUCAUGGGCCGGUUGAUGUUCUUCAGUCCUGCUCCAGAUAACUUUGACCAGGAGCCUAUACUGGACUCUUUCGACUUCUCUCAAGAAUACCUUUUCCAGGAGCAGUACCUGUCCAAGGAUUUGACACCAGCAGUGACAGACAAUGAUGAGGCCGACAAGAAGGCCGGCCAGGCCACAGAGGGCCAUUGUCCUCGGCAGCAGUGGGCCCUGGUGGAGUUUGAGAAGCCCGUCACCUGCCCUCGGCUGUGCCUGGUGAUUGGCUCCAGGCUAGAUGCGGACAUUCACACCAACACGUGCCGGCUAGCCUUCCAUG